RNAcentral lists this ribosomal RNA (458 nucleotides) under uncultured bacterium. RNAcentral's name for it is "SSU rRNA". It matches the Rfam family "Bacterial small subunit ribosomal RNA", at positions 26 to 518 of the family's 1533-position model. The record is from RNAcentral.
AGAAUCAACGCUGGCGGCGUGCCUAACACAUGCAAGUCGAACGAGAAAGUGGAGCAAUCCAUGAGUAAAGUGGCGACCGGGUGAGUAACACGUGACUAACCUACCUUCGAGGUGGGGGAUAACCUCGGGAAACCGAGGCUAAUACCGCAUAACAUCGCAAGAUCAAAGCAGCAAUGCGCUGGAAGAGGGGGUCGCGGCUGAUUAGCUAGUUGGCGGGUAACGCCCACAAGGCGAAGAUCGGUAGCCGGCCUGAGAGGGCGCACGGCCACACUGGAACUGAAACACGGUCCAGACUCCUACGGGAGGCAGCAGUGGGGAAUUUUGCGCAAUGGGGGAAACCCUGACGCAGCAACGCCGCGUGGAGGAUGAAGCCCCUUGGGGCGUAAACUCCUUUCGACCAAGACGAUAAUGACGGUACUGGUGGAAGAAGCACCGGCUAACUCUGCGCCAGCAGCCGC